Long non-coding RNA from Trachemys scripta elegans, 487 nucleotides. RefSeq lists it as uncharacterized. NCBI's taxonomy places the organism in Eukaryota, Metazoa, Chordata, Testudines, Emydidae. The transcript is spliced from 4 exons. The record is from RefSeq and is a predicted model, not a curated record.
AGGAACCCGACGUCCAUAGAGCUUGUCAAGCCUGCUGAUAUCAGCAGUGCAGGCGAGGGAUCAAGGGGUAACUCACGCUGGCCUCGGGGACCCACUGACAGCUGAGCUAUUUCUUCACUGCACAAAGCGGAGAGAUCACGAACUCCAACCAGCUCCCUGGAGGCACAGCCCCCUGAGAUACCCCAUGAUAAAGAUGCUUGAUUCUCCUUACUUGCCCUGAUCAGAGGAUAAAUGGGAAACUGAAGCUAAGAGAAGUUAACUGAAAUGCCCAGUGUCACACAUGAAGUCACUGUCAGAACCAGGAUUUGGACACAGGCCUCUUGUCUUCCAUUUUUACAGGUGCCAAAUCUGAAGAAUUGUCCCAGACUAAGAUGUCAGAGGUGGUUUUGGAACAAAUUCAUAAUUUAAAUAAUAAUAAGUCACCAGAACCAGAUGGUAUUCACCCAAGAGUUUGAAGGAAUUCAAAUAUGAAAUUGCAGAGCUGCUA